CACGGGGGGAGCAAGCGUUGUUCGGAAUCACUGGGCGUAAAGGGCGUGUAGGCGGUCAAGUAAGUGGAAUGUGAAAGCCCCCGGCUUACCCGGGGAUCUGCAUCCCAAACUGCUUGGCUUGAGUACGGGAGAGGAUAGGGGAAUUCCUGGUGUAGCGGUGAAAUGCGUAGAUAUCAGGAGGAACACCGGUGGCGAAGGCGCCUAUCUGGCCCGAUACUGACGCUGAGGUGCGAAAGCGUGGGGAGCAAACAGG
RNAcentral lists this ribosomal RNA (253 nucleotides) under uncultured bacterium. RNAcentral's name for it is "partial 16S ribosomal RNA". It matches the Rfam family "Bacterial small subunit ribosomal RNA", at positions 524 to 776 of the family's 1533-position model. The record is from RNAcentral.